Molecule: long non-coding RNA, 705 nt
Organism: Capra hircus (goat)
Lineage: Eukaryota; Metazoa; Chordata; Mammalia; Artiodactyla; Bovidae
Exons: 2
Source: RefSeq, a predicted model, not a curated record
UUUUGAGAUUGCAAGCAUGUGGAAUUUAGGGUGGGAAACAAGUGCAUCAGCCAGUCCUGGGAUAUUCCCCCUGGGAGAAGCUGCCUGGUCUUUAUAAAAGGAGUCUCCAUCACAGUGCUGUCAUUGUUGUGACGGUCAUAAGUCUUCUUUGAAGCCUCAGAUUCCUUGAGACCCAAGAAGGAUGUCUCACCACCAGCAUCCACAUCCUCAUCCACAUCCACACCAGCAUCCGCAUCAGCAUCAUCAUCAGUGCAAGGAGCCCUGCCAUCCACCUCCAAAAGUGUGCCCACCGAAGUGCCAUGAGCCUUGCCCAUCCCAUCCAUGCCCACCUCCAGUGAGCCAGCAGAAAUGCCCUCCUGGGCUGCCAUGCCCACCAUGCGAGCAGAAGUGUCCACCCAAGUGGAAGUAACAGCACCAGAUUUCAUCUGGACCAAGAAACAACAUGAUCCAGGCUCUUCCAUUUCCUCCCUUCGGCCGUGGUGACGGAGUGCAUCUUCCUUAAUCUCCCUCCUGGACUGACAGCUGACAGAGAAAAGGCUUGGUUCCUGAAGCUGACACCAUGUUGGUGGAAGAAGAGCAGCAGGUUCAUCGCUUGAUCUCUCUUUGCCAUCUGUGUGUCUGUAUCCAUGUUGCGAAAUCUACCCCCUGAGCAAAUAGUGUGUGUAUUCCUUUGCUUCUCCAAUAAAGCAUAUUCAUAGCCCUUAA